GCGAGUAUGGCGAAAUUGGUAGACGCAUUAGAUUUAGGUUCUAGUAGGAUAUAUCCUGUGCAAGUUCAAGUCUUGCUAUUCGU
Molecule: transfer RNA, 83 nt
Filed under: Chromochloris zofingiensis
Lineage: Eukaryota; Viridiplantae; Chlorophyta; Chlorophyceae; Sphaeropleales; Chromochloridaceae
Description: tRNA-Leu
Rfam family: tRNA
About the family: Transfer RNA (tRNA) molecules are approximately 80 nucleotides in length. Their secondary structure includes four short double-helical elements and three loops (D, anti-codon, and T loops). Further hydrogen bonds mediate the characteristic L-shaped molecular structure. tRNAs have two regions of fundamental functional importance: the anti-codon, which is responsible for specific mRNA codon recognition, and the 3' end, to which the tRNAs corresponding amino acid is attached (by aminoacyl-tRNA synthetases). tRNAs cope with the degeneracy of the genetic code in two manners: having more than one tRNA (with a specific anti-codon) for a particular amino acid; and 'wobble' base-pairing, i.e. permitting non-standard base-pairing at the 3rd anti-codon position.
Source: RNAcentral